CCAAACUGUUGCCUCGGCGGGAUCUCUGCCCCGGGUGCGUCGCAGCCCCGGACCAAGGCGCCCGCCGGAGGACCAACCAAAACUCUUUUUGUAUACCCCCUCGCGGGUUUUUUAUAAUCUGAGCCUUCUCGGCGCCUCUCGUAGGCGUUUCGAAAAUGAAUCAAAACUUUCAACAACGGAUCUCUUGGUUCUGGCAUCGAUGAAGAACGCAGCGAAAUGCGAUAAGUAAUGUGAAUUGCAGAAUUCAGUGAAUCAUCGAAUCUUUGAACGCACAUUGCGCCCGCCAGUAUUCUGGCGGGCAUGCCUGUCCGAGCGUCAUUUCAACCCUCGAACCCCUCCGGGGGGUCGGCGUUGGGGAUCGGCCCUGCCUUUUGGCGGUGGCCGUCUCCGAAAUACAGUGGCGGUCUCGCCGCAGCCUCUCCUGCGCAGUAGUUUGCACACUCGCAUCGGGAGCGCGGCGCGUCCACAGCCGUUAAACACCCAACUUCUGAAAUGUUGACCUCGGAUCAGGUAGGAAUACCCGCUGAACUUAAGCAUAUCAAUAAGCGGAGGAA
RNAcentral lists this ribosomal RNA (554 nucleotides) under Trichoderma harzianum. RNAcentral's name for it is "eukaryotic LSU rRNA". The stretch from base 165 to 318 matches the Rfam family "5.8S ribosomal RNA". The record is from RNAcentral. Lineage: Eukaryota; Fungi; Ascomycota; Sordariomycetes; Hypocreales; Hypocreaceae.